CUCAAGUGAUCUGCCCGUCUCGGCCUCCCAAAAUGCUGGAUUACAGGCAUGACCCACCCCGCCCGGCCCAUCUUCUGGUGUUUCAACUUCCCACUCUGGAACUAUCUGCACCAACCAGUGUCAUAGUUUGCUACCAGAAGUAUGGAUAAUUGAGACCACAGAGAACCCUCCCUAAAACAGUGAAAAGCGUCAGAAGUCUUUGGUUUAUAAAGGACUGAGGGCUCCGCUGUCUAUGGCCCCGGCCCUGGGCUCAGCACUUACAAACUUUCCUGACACCUGGAACUGUGAACCUGGCACCAAGCAGAAAAUAAACUCCAAGCAGCCAGUAAAAAAAGAAAAGAAAAGAAAAGAAAGCCUUUAGUUUAAAAGAUGUGGAGAUGAAUUCUUGAGAGUUUAGAUGCUUCUCCCACCCCUCCCCCUUCUGGCUUCACGAUGUCCUGCCAUUUGUACAUUUGAGACAUGUGCUAAAGUGUAUCUACCCAUCCUGCUCAUCUUCACCUGCAAGAAUGCUGGCUGAUUCCAUGUGUCCCACAGGGUGAUGUGUUGAUUCGGAUAGUGGGCAGCAGAAAGCCUUUGCCAUUCAGAAUAUGGAAAUGGGAGAAAUGGAGCCAGAAAAUGUUUACAGAACGGUGAGAGAAGAAAAGGAAAAAUACCCAAGGUACAGCUGACCUGUUUAAAUGCAGAAUAUACUUAAAAGACUCCAAAGACUGAGGCUUUUGUAACAUGAAUGAGGAAUAUUAAAGGUAAACUCCUCCUGGGCAGGACCUGACUCUUCAGAGGAAGUUUUUAAUCCCCCUCCCCAGAAGUGCCCACAUCAAGGCCAUGGUAGAGAAGAAGCUCAAGAGCAAUCCCUAAGCAACCACACUUGGAAGCAUCCUGCAUCAGAGGGGUUUGUUCCAGGCUCAGAUUUAAUUCCACUAUUUCCUUUUCCUAAGACAAGUAUUGUCUGAAGCAGUCUGUGUGAUUUUGAGAUGAAAAGAUUGCAGAACUCAGCUCCCAGGUUGUCUCGUAUCUGAUUCUUUGACAGGGGAAAAGAAGGGGACUCUUCUGCACAAUAGCUGAGCAGACAGGAGAGAAAAAACUUGAAGAUUCACAGUGGAGUGAGGCUAAUUGGAGCCUUCCUCAGAGAAGCUCAACUUUCCCAGUUUUACCUAUCCCAUUCCUUGCCAUUCCCACCUGUAAUUCUGUCUUGGCAAGAACCCCACACUGAAUGUUCUCAAAGUACUUUGUAGACUUUAAUUAGUUCUGUGGGAAGUCAGGCAAAGCUCAGCCUUCAUUCUGCCAACAGAGAUGACAGUGGUGGGUGUGGAAGGAAGGCAAGAAGAAGAUAGACACCCAGAACAGUUGUGCAACUUACUGAAGGCCAUGUGGAUAGAAGGAACUGGGUUUAAAACCCCUGAGUCUUGAUAAAAGUGUCUUAGCCUUCCAGAUUCCUAAACAGGUAGUGGGCUCAUCCUACUAACCUACUUUGCUAGGGUGUUGUUGAUGAAUGCUUAUAAACCCUGUCCCAGAUGAUAGGUUUGGAAGAUUGUUAAGGAAAGCAUGCCAUUAAGUCCCUACUCACCCCCUCCUUGACAAAUAGCCCUAGAGGGAAAUGAAUGUCAGCCAGAAUCGGAGGGCCUCCACUUCAAUGGGAUGGACUGAGAUUCAGCAACAGGAGAAAUUUUCUAGCAGUGAGGGAAAUCAAGGAUGUGCUGGGGCUGGAGGGUAGGGUUUGGGAAGGCCUAAAACAGGUGACCCAUGGCCAGACAGCCUGGAAAAGAUCAUCAAGGAAUAACUGAUUCCCAUUGGUCGCUGUGGAUGGUCAUUUUCUUAAAAUUCAGGACACUAUUUUUGCAGUAGUUUCCCUUCCUCU
This is a long non-coding RNA of Cebus imitator (Panamanian white-faced capuchin), 1855 nucleotides long. RefSeq lists it as uncharacterized. The record is from RefSeq and is a predicted model, not a curated record. The transcript is spliced from 3 exons. Lineage: Eukaryota; Metazoa; Chordata; Mammalia; Primates; Cebidae.